This 2804-nucleotide long non-coding RNA is filed under the name Monomorium pharaonis (pharaoh ant). RNAcentral describes it as "uncharacterized LOC114254689". Lineage: Eukaryota; Metazoa; Arthropoda; Insecta; Hymenoptera; Formicidae. The record is from RNAcentral.
AAAAAAAAUAUCUCUAAAAAUACAAUUUAUAAUUUUAAUUGAUAACUGCUUCAAAUAUUUUGAGAACUGUAAAAUGAAUUAACGCAAAGCAAAAUAAGUUUAACUCGACUUGGGAUUGCAAAGCUUCAAGUCUAAUAUUAGAAAUCCCGAGUGAUCAUUAUUGACUGUUCUUAUUUUUUAAAUUAGUAGCCUAUUUCUUAUUCAAGAGAUAGGAUUUUUUAAUUUUCAGACUUGACAUCAAUCGUUUCAUUUGAUCUCGACAAAAUAUUUAGUUUAUUUUCUUUAUUUUUCUAUAAUAAUUUAUUCCCUCUUUUAAUCCUUUCAUUAAAUAUAAAAUUUUGGUACUUUUUUAGUGGCAAAGAAUAAGCGUAUUGAGCACGAAAAUAAUAGAAACUAUAUAUGUACACGGAAGUAUUGAAAUAAUUCAGUGAACAUAUUAUACACCGAAUCUUUGGAUCUUAUCUCGAGGAAAGUUUACGCGAUUACUGAUAAAAUUGCAUCAUUAAAUAAAGUGCAAAUAAACCACGAGUGGUAAAAUAAAUAUUUUUUUCAGAAGAAUAUGCGUAUAACUUUUUUUUCUAGUCGUUUCUUCAGUUCGAUUUGUUACUACAGAAUACAGACAAUAUCGCUUAAGGCACGUCGGGGUAGUUGAGAAAGAAACACAAAGAUAUAACUGACGAUACAGUAUUAUUGAUUAAGUAUUACUGAAGCCGUACUAAGGACAUAACUCGACCAGACAGCACUAUGUACGUAUCCAUAAUUAUUAUUGUCUUAGGAUGACGUAAAUAAUCCGAGUCGAUUGUCCAAUCUGAAAUCCGCCGUUCCUUGUACGAGGCGAUACGCGGUUGUAAAAGUACUCUUUAACUUUUCUACUUAUAGAUCUUUUACAAGCUAUUUAAUAUUUUCUGUGCGUAUCACGGUAUUUUUUUUUAAAUCUAAGGUUACAAAUAUGUAUAUCUAGAUAGUUUUCGACAUAUUUCAAAUUAAUUUGAUGUCCUUUAAAAAAUAUGACAUAUCAUUUUUAGAAUCAAACUGUAAAGAUCCAGACAAUAAGGGUUCGUUAAGCAAAAUUAACGUUCUUUGGAAGACUACAUUGCGCAAAUGGUUAGGGUAAUUUCGUAGAAUUGCCGGAUGGCUGGAAAGAAGGGCCGAAGGAGCCGCGAAUUCGUAAACUCGACUCCGCCGGCCGGUCGCCCCCUCCCCCUUCGCCGUGGUGGCUGUGUCAAGCGGAUCCGCACGAAGUGUACAACGCGCACGUUACGAUACGGAUGCGGAUACUCGGUGGGCUCGAUAUACGUAGCUAAAGCGCGCGCGAGUGAGUUCAGGCCAAAGUCUAACAGACACGACACACCUCCGACCUUCCUAUCGAUCUGCGGCCGGAGGUUUUACGCGUCCUCCACCCUCCGUAAGCUCGACGACCCUCUCUUCCCGCCCUCGCUCUGUCUGACUCGCUAUUCCCUCUUUCUCGCUCGCUCUACCCCUUGCUCUCAGCCGUAUAACCCUCUUUCGCCCCCUCUCUUUCUCCUUCUGUCGGGUGCCCAAGUCCUAGCGAGAAGGAAAGGCGAACCUGCCUGCCUGCCUGCCUGCCUGCCUGCUUGCCUGCCUGCCUGCCUGCCUGCCGAGACCCUCGCCAUGAGAACGAGUUUCUCGUCCACCUCCUCCACUGCUAGCGGCUCCUCCUUCUCCUCUUCUACCUCACCCUCGCGAGCACUCGCAAGCCCGCACCCUCGCAACCCGUUUCUAUCGCACCCCUCGUCACCUGCGGGGGGAGAAAGGAAGGAGGCGAAGCGGCGCGGAGAGAAAGAGAGCCAAUAAUGCGUCUUUACGACUCCGCGCUUUCGCAACACAGCCACGCCAGCUAUGCGCACCGCGGCAUCGCGGCCGCUCUCAAUUUGAUUUAAAGACGAGCUGCCGCUCUAACGCUGCGCGCGCGAACCGAGACAUCCGUCCCGCGCCGGCCCGUGAGAUCGACCCAUCGCGCAAAAAUAUUGUUUCCAUUUCCCUCUGAGAAACCGUGCGGCACAAAGGGGAUUUGCAGAUUAAAACAAUGUACUCGAGAAGUUUCGUCAGGCCUUUCAACUUACGAAUAAUGCCGAUUAAUUUCGGUCAUUGCAAUUUACGGAAAGUGUAUAUAAAUUUUGAAGACAUUUAUAAUACAAUACAGUUGCUACGGUUUCUCGAGGGUCGCCUGCAACGACGAGCGGCUCGGUCGAGACGGCAAGAGCCGACGAGACGGUCGCGGUCGUAGACUUUGGAAAAUACCGGAGGAUGAUGCCGGAACGGUACGGCACCGCGCCGUGUAUGACUGGCCGACUCCGCUGCCGACUAACGCCCCGGAUCGCGAACCGGUCAUUAGUGCAACGGAACCGGUGCAUCAGGGACAGGGAGAGCGAGCGCGGCGGAAUGUCCGCGCGAUGAAUGCCCCUAUUAUCGGUCGCUCGACCGCCAGAAUGCCGUUAGACGCACCGGCGGUCAAUCUAUUGUCCUACGUGUGCACAUGCAGCUCCGCAGGCGUUCCCGCCAGCGAGCGAGUGAGCGAGCGAGCGAGGAGAUUCGACCGGGCGACAGAAUUAGCCCGCUACAAGGAAAACUGUUGAGCCUGCUGCCGAUGUUUGCGCCUUCGCCGCGCUAUUCGUCUCUCCGCGCGAUAUUAUUGAACUUGUUGUGAUACCGCGUAUAUAGAUAGGCCACGAAAAAAUGCCGUGGGACAAAAGUUUGAAGAAACUGAUAAAGGAAUAUGUAAUAGGCCGCGGAAUGAGGAUUUAAACGCAGGAAAAGGAAAUGUACUAUGGAAAUUGUGAAAA